GACAGAGGUGCCAAGCGUUAGGCGGAAUCACUGGGCUUAAAGCGUGUGUAGGCGGAAUUGUAAGUACCUUGUGAAAUCCCACGGCUCAACCGUGGAACUGCUUGGUAUACUGCUUUUCUUGAGCCACUUAGGGGCUACCGGAACAAAUGGUGGAGCGGUGAAAUGCGUAGAUAUCAUUUGGAACGCCAAUGGUGAAAACAGGUAGCUGGGAGUGUGCUGACGCUGAGACACGAAAGCCAGGGGAGCGAACGGG
This 253-nucleotide ribosomal RNA is filed under the name uncultured bacterium. RNAcentral describes it as "partial 16S ribosomal RNA". It matches the Rfam family "Bacterial small subunit ribosomal RNA", at positions 524 to 776 of the family's 1533-position model. The record is from RNAcentral.